This 253-nucleotide ribosomal RNA is filed under the name uncultured bacterium. RNAcentral describes it as "partial 16S ribosomal RNA". It matches the Rfam family "Bacterial small subunit ribosomal RNA", at positions 524 to 776 of the family's 1533-position model. The record is from RNAcentral.
GACAGAGGGUGCAAACGUUGUUCGGAAUUACUGGGCGUAAAGCGCGUGUAGGCAGCUCGGAAAGUCGGAUGUGAAAGCCCUGGGCUUAACCUAGGAAGUGCAUUCGAAACUUCCGAACUCGAGUUCUGGAGAGGAAGGCGGAAUUCUCGGUGUAGAGGUGAAAUUCGUAGAUAUCGAGAGGAACACCGGUGGCGAAGGCGGCCUUCUGGACGGAUACUGACGCUGAGACGCGAAAGCGUGGGGAGCAAACAGG